AAGAUCAGUUUACCCAUAAAUGAGUAGUUUAUUCACCCAUAUUUGGGUUUUAUAUGCAUUACUUAUAUUAUGAGUAAAAUAUACUAAUAAAAAGCGGUAAAAAAUACUCAUAUUGUUGGUAGAGUGAGUUUACUCAAAUAUGGGUAAACAUGAUUUACCCAUAUUUGGAUGAAAAUUGUCAGUCGCGAUCACUUUGGUGGAAGUAGCAGCAGCGGAACAGCGGCGACGCCCAGUUUGCUGAAACGCACGUAAAAGCUGCCGCCGAUCGGCAAUGAUUUUGAAAAAGCGUUCCGGCGGGGAUCAUCCGAGAGAUAUUAUCAACCAGGAACCAGGAAGUGGACAUCCGUCGUCAGGACGCCUGAAGCCGCAAUGAGAUUUUUUCCGCGAGGUUUUCCGUGCCCAGUACGAUGCCACCGUUGUCGACGUUCAGCCGGAAUCUAGGCCCGAAUAUUCUGAUCUCCGACGCUGUCCUGCUCAUGAAACAACGAUCGCAUCGAAUGCUACGAAGUGCAUGCACACCAGAUGGUCUGUCGUGCCCAAGGCAUCUCCCCCGGUGGCUUCGAUUCCACGGUACGAUGGCAUUCCGCCGCAGUGUGGUAUAUCGUGGGAUCUCCGCCACCACCCCGAGCACUACCUCAUCCGAUGUACGAGGAGGAUUGAUGACCCGAUUGACCACAGCUGUCGUAGAAGAUGCGAGCAAUUUAAUCGAAUCAUUUUUUUUUCAAUUGCUGUAUUAAAAUGUACUAGUGCAUUGAAGAUUAGAAUAAAAGCUUCUAGUUUCUUCUUUAUUUAAUUUCUCUGUGCUUUCUUUAAGUUUAUUGGAAUAAAUGAAUAUUAUUAAAUAUAAAAUAAUUAUAAAUUUUA
Aedes albopictus (Asian tiger mosquito) is the source of this 864-nucleotide long non-coding RNA. RefSeq lists it as uncharacterized. The transcript has 2 exons. NCBI's taxonomy places the organism in Eukaryota, Metazoa, Arthropoda, Insecta, Diptera, Culicidae. The record is from RefSeq and is a predicted model, not a curated record.